ACGAACGCUGGCGGCCUGCCUAACACAUGCAAGUCGAACGAACCCUUCGGGGUUAGUGGCGCACGGGUGCGUAACGCGUGGGAAUCUGCCCUUUGCUUCGGAAUAACUCAGGGAAACUUGUGCUAAUACCGGAUGAUGUCUUCGGACCAAAGAUUUAUCGGCAAGGGAUGAGCCCGCGUAGGAUUAGGUAGUUGGUGGGGUAAAGGCCUACCAAGCCGACGAUCCUUAGCUGGUCUGAGAGGAUGAUCAGCCACACUGGGACUGAGACACGGCCCAGACUCCUACGGGAGGCAGCAGUGGGGAAUAUUGGACAAUGGGCGCAAGCCUGAUCCAGCAAUGCCGCGUGAGUGAUGAAGGCCCUCGGGUCGUAAAGCUCUUUUACCAGGGAUGAUAAUGACAGUACCUGGAGAAUAAGCUCCGGCUAACUCCGUG
Molecule: ribosomal RNA, 432 nt
Filed under: uncultured bacterium
Lineage: Bacteria
Description: partial 16S ribosomal RNA
Rfam family: Bacterial small subunit ribosomal RNA
Source: RNAcentral